This 5110-nucleotide long non-coding RNA is filed under the name Lactuca sativa (garden lettuce). Its description in RNAcentral is "long non-coding RNA (LSAT_LNC000748)". The record is from RNAcentral. Lineage: Eukaryota; Viridiplantae; Streptophyta; Magnoliopsida; Asterales; Asteraceae.
AACUCUUCUAAAGCCAAGUACCAAAGCCUAGAUUUGUUCCUAGUUAAUUUAGAGGUUAGAAAACACCAUAAUCACCCUCCGAAGGGAGUUUACGGCCAGAAACUCCAAGGGAAUAUGGUGUAUGGGCCGUAAACUGCCCAAAGGAGUUCAUAUGGUACCCAAACACUUGUNNNNNNNNNNNNNNNNNNNNNNNNNNNNNNNNNNNNNNNNNNNNNNNNNNNNNNNNNNNNNNNNNNNNNNNNNNNNNNNNNNNNNNNNNNNNNNNNNNNNAUGAAAUUAUCUUGUACUGUAAGUACUUUAGUAGGUCUUUAUGCUUUCAGGAACUAUGUUCUGCGGAUAUGAUGUAAGACCUUUACAAGGUCAUUUUCCAGAAUCUUUACAUCAUGAAUAUCAAAGGUAUUGACAGCCGGCUAACUUCUGUGUCAUUCUUCAUUCAAGUACUCUUAUCAUUCUUUCAUUAGGGUCUAUCUGAAACAUGCUUUAGUCAAGCCAUUGGACUAUAGUGAUUUAUCUCCGGAGACAUUUCCAAGUCUCUUUCAGUGGUUGGACCUUGUUAUUCACCAACCCACGAUACCUCGGCUUGCACAACAAACGUUUUGAGACCAUUCUAUGAACUUACCUCUACUCAUUACUAGGACUGCAUCAUAGGGAUGUAGGUCAAACCUUCACAAACAUACUUCCAUUCCAUACUAGGACUGCAUCAUAGGGAUGUAGGUCAAACCUUCGCGAACAUACUUUCAUUCUGUACUAGGACUGCAUCAUAGGGAUGUAGGUCAAACUUUCGAGAACAUAGUCGUACUCUUUACAUGAAUAACCUAAGUACAUCAGGGUUAACCAGAAUCGCUCACAAAAUCCUUAUCUUUCGUGCUACACAAUCAUGUCGUCAUCCGGAAGCAACCAGUCGAACAGGGAAACCUCCGCUUUUCCUAUGGACGCCGUUACCUUUCAAACAGCAGUUACAGCUGCCGUGGUGGCUGUCUUAACCGCGGUCCUUGCGCACCGUAGCGCUAACAUCACAAUCAAUGCUGCUGAUGGGAAUGAAGUUUCCAAUCGUGGUAUCCAUCCAGGAGGUCAUCAAACAGUAACAGCCACAGGCUCACAAAGCCGAAAAGCAGAGAACAAGAAAGGAAAGCGUCAAGCCUGGAAAGAACGAAAGAGAUCCCAAAGGCUGGCUACACAACAGCAGCAAGUGGAAACCCCUGUCGUUCCCAUACCGAGCAGACCCUACAAAGGAACACUCCCGAGGUGCGACCGGUGCAACUACCACCACAAGGGAAUGUGCCGAUUCUUGCAAUGCGAUAAUUGCAACAAGAUAGGGCACAUUGCUCGUUUCUGUCGAACUACCUCCACUACUGGGGCAAGCCUAGUUUGCUUUAAUUGUGGUCAGUUUGGGAACUAUAAGAGGGAUUGCCCGAAGAAGGAAAUCCAGGAAAGAACCCGCGUCGCCAUAACUCCUACCAAACACUUCACUUCCACCACCAAUGUGGGCGUUGUCCAUGUAUGUCACCAAUGCGGUGAAAUUGGACACCUCAAGAAGGAUUGCCCGAUAACGCAGAACUCUUGCGCAGACGGGAAAAUUCUUAGGAUCACAGCCGCAGGAGAGCCUACUCCAGAACCAUCGUUAAUGUAAUUUAGGCGUUUCGUUGUAACAGACUUAUAAAUUAUCCAGAACUAGUGCAACUAGAGUCUUACCUUUUGCGAGAUCCUAUCGGUAUAAGGAUUCCCGUGCUGCGUAUACUUGCCUUUUGUAGUAUAUUUUAUUCGCAGCAAUAGUCUUGUGGUAAAUCUAAAGUACUGUAACUCUGUUCAUGGUUGCACGGUUGUGUUUUGUCGGUAAACGUCUUAUGUUCAAAUCUAAUGUAUUUAAGUUUCAGUAUGAUUCCGACAUUAUCAUACGACUCGAUUCAAUUUGUUCUUCACAAAAACAGCCUUAUACGUACAUCUCUUUCUUCUAGAUCGUUUUUUCCAGCGAAGCCGUCAUAUCAGAACACCGAAGUAUUCAUGCCAGGAGUACCUCUUAGUUAUUUUCUUUCCGAAGAAAUCCCCGAAGUACUCAUGCCAGGAGUACCUCUUAGUUAUUUUCUUUCCGAAGAAGUCCCCGAAGUACCACUCGUGCAGUACGUCAAGUUCAUUCCAAGGAUUCAUACGAUUGAUCUAUCACUGAGGAAGGUAUACGUAAGAAUUAUAUAUAAUCAAGCUUCUACAGGUUUAGAAUUGAUGAUUCCACUUUAACUUCUUUUUCCCGAUGGGAUGUGAGCUUAAAGAAGAAUCAGUUAUUCGACUACCUUUUCAACCUUAAUUAUAUGCGACUCGUAUACCCGAAAUUGUGAUUGUGAAACCAUGUAUGAAUUCUAAUAUGAACUUCAGGACGGAGAACUGCUUAAGCCGAUGAGUAAUCACAUCGUGAUGUGAACAAACAUAGAACACAGUACGACUCUUGUAAACAGAUCACCCUAUAGUCUAAACACCUACGGAGAUACCAGAACAGUGCAAACAACUUAGCGAGCUACACAUAAAUAGAAUUAGAAGACUAGGUUUCUCACCCUAGAGAAACCUUAGGCUUAUUCUCCCAGAGGUCGAUGGAUCGCAUCGUAUGUGCCUCGGAGUUCGAGGACUCCGUCAAGAUUUUUCAUUAGAAAUCGUUAUCUCUGCCGCACAUAGAUGAAAUGGUUGAGCAAAUGCAAGGAAAGAAUUACUUUCAGGAAUGGACCUGAGAUCCGAAUAUCACCAGUCCGAGUGUUAUGGAAAGAUGUCCGGAAGACUAUCUCCUGAACUCGAUGCGGACACUUCGAGUCGGUAGUGAUACCCUUCGGAUAGGACCAGUACGCCCAUAGUUUUCAUGAGCUAAAUGAAUAGGGUGCACUUUUCUUACAUGGAUCAAUUCGUCAUUUCUCCAUGUAAUGACUUACUUAUCUACCCUCGUAGUAAGAAGAAAACCCAGGGAAACAUUUCCUACAGAGGAACUUUAGCGAAGUUCUCUAGAAACGAGUUUUGAAAUUGAAGAGUCAAAAUUCUAUGACACACUGUUAGUAAUGUGAGAAAUUAUGAGCACUCUUUCAAUUUGUCAAAACUGCUGAGCGUUUAUCGACACCAGAGACGCCGACAGUCUUUCGCCAAAUUCUAGGUCUUACCGACCUACCGCCUUAGUUCAUUCAGAACUCCUCGCAAGCUACAGAAACUCGUACGACUUUGAGCCAACAAAGGGUGGCCUUUGACUGGGAAGUUACGCAAGAAAAGGAACCUUUGAAAUUCCAAGUGAGUGAUUAGGAUAACUCACUUUGGGAAUGGCUUAAUACGCUUCGUAAAGCGUGGAAAGCUAAAUCCAAGAUAGACAGGACCUCCGAGAUUCUUAUCAAAAUCGGUCCUACGCCUCGCACAAACUAGACCUACUCCGCGAACUCAGUAACACACAUACUACUCUUCGCGUCUCGAUCGUGGAACCAUACCUUUCCGUUAGGACUCUUGUAAGUCCACUAGUCGAGAUCCUCGCCUUCGUAUUAGAACCAUAGUGACCCUCGACUGAGAGGUCAAGCGGACGAAGAAACGCCAUCGCCAGUUAGUGAAGGUUCGUUGGAAUGCCAACUGAGAACCCGAUUUCACUUAAGUGCGCAAGAACCAAUCGAUUAGGAAGUUUCCUCCUCACGAAUCGAUCAUUCGUACAUACUUCCUUGCUUAAACUCUAAUUUCGGGAUGAAAUUCCCUUCAACAGGGGGAUGAUGUGACAACCCGAAAUUUCCAUUCUGAACAAACCAUUUCAAUCCAAUAGAAGUUAGAACGGUUAUAGUGAAAACUCGGAUUUCGAGUAUAAGUUUGGCAGUUUUCAGGAUUUUACACUUAAGGAGAUAUUAGGAGAGUGGAUGCAAUAGGAUUUUGUGCUACACUAUUAUUCCAAGACUCUAGGACAUUAGAGUUCAUUCUAGGAAUAAAAAUAUUUUCUGCCAAAAGUAUUUCAGGACUAUAAAUAGAUUUCUGAACUAAAUUCAUUCAUUAUUCACAAUUCCAACUAGAGAAAAGCCGUUUUCGUCUCUCACGGAUCUUCGGGUUUUCAUCCCAAAUCGUGAGUACACUUCUCUAGUUGUGUUAUAAUGCUUGUUUUAUGCUUAUUAACGUAGAUUAUAUGUCAAAUAUAUGAGAUCCGGGAGUUUACCGCCCAAGAACGUUCUUGGGAAGUAAACUCCAAAAUGAAGCUUAAUGGUCAUCUAGUCCCAUUUCCUUGUUAGGUAUCUAGCUUAGGAUAAUAUGUAUGAACAUUUGAGACUAGAAAUCAAUCAAGAACACCUAGCUUUAGGAGUUUACGGCCCAAGAGUUUCUUGGACCGUAAACACCAAUUUCAAGGGCUUAAAUGUGCCCUAAUCACCCCCAAAGGCUUAGGUUUUAUUAUAGACAUGUACCCUAAAGUGAUUAGAACCUAGAAAACACAUGGAAACACAAGUGUUGAAGAGUUUACGGCCAAGAGUAGUUCUUGGGCCGUAAACUCCUAUAAAGGGGUCAAAGGACACCCUAACUCCUUCCUUAAGCCAAGAGACCAAUUUGGGCAUGUACCUAAAUGAGUUUUGGACUAGUUAACACACUUAGAACACCAAAAGUAAGGGAGUUUACGGCCCAAAAGGUUCUAAGGCCGUAAACUCCAUAAAAUGGUGCCAUAAACUCUUCUAAAGCGAAGUACCAAAGCCUAGAUUUGUUCCUAGUUAAUUUAGAGGAUAGAAAACACCAUAAUCACCCUCCGAAGGGAGUUUACGGCCAGAAACUCCAAGGGAAUAUGGUCUAUGGGCCGUAAACUCCCCAAAGGAGUUCAUAUGGUACCCAAACACUUGUUAUAGCCUCGAAACAAUUCACCACUAGAGUUGUAAUAAUUCUAAGCACCAUUUAGAGCCUUGGUUGAGAGUUUACGGCCAGGAGUUUACUCCCCUGGGCCGUAAACUCCAAAGAACAUGGUCAUUAGACCAUAAACUUCCAUUAGGGGCAUUGCACUCCUUUGUUGCAACCCAUUAGCCUCCUAGCACUUGACCAAAAGUGUUUUCCUUGCGUUUAAAUGAUUAUACUUGUAUAAUUAGUGAUUUAAUCUCUAAUUAUUUAUAUACAUAUGUCUUCAUAUGUAAUUAGGAUCAUU